Molecule: long non-coding RNA, 468 nt
Filed under: Homo sapiens (human)
Lineage: Eukaryota; Metazoa; Chordata; Mammalia; Primates; Hominidae
Description: HSALNT0359112
Source: RNAcentral
GAUAUGAAAAAUGUGAAUGGAGACGAGCACCCCAUUAACCAGCAGCUCUUAGGCAGCAUUGCUUGUUGGAGGUAUCUUUUCACAGAGGUGAGCCGGCAGCGCCCUGGGCAUUAUGGGAGCAUCCUGAAGGUACGGGGCCUCGUGCUGCAGCCAUUGGAGUGGCUGGCAAGAGUGAUCACAGAAACUGUAAAGCCCUAAGCCCCUGGAAAUGGAGCGCCCUGCGGCUCUGAUUAAGGCUUGUGGAGAGGGAGCUGUAUAAUUGGAUACCCUGAAGCAAACCUCGAGCAGAAUCCUAUGCCAUUUGGAGUAGCUACUUUGAGGACAAGAGACAAAAAGCCUGAGGAGAAAGUCACCAUGAAGGAAACAGAAAGAUUAAACAGCAUGCGUGAUCUUUGAUUCAGAGUCCCCAUCUCACCCUGGACUGCCUUCCUUUGGAAUUCCCUUGUGGAAAAAAAAAUUAAACUCUUA